Molecule: long non-coding RNA, 334 nt
Organism: Lepisosteus oculatus (spotted gar)
Lineage: Eukaryota; Metazoa; Chordata; Actinopteri; Semionotiformes; Lepisosteidae
Source: RefSeq, a predicted model, not a curated record
AUGUACAGAUUCUGUCAAAAUUCCUCUCUGGGCUAACUUUCACCAAGUUACCCAUUAUUUCAAUUGAUGAACCAGUGACUCACUUUUCUAUCUGGCCUCCUGUGUAAUGAAGCUACAGCAAUGCCCUGGACUUUCUCGUGUGGCUUUUUGCUUUGCUGAUGUGCCAUGUGAUCACUGGAAAAUCUCCAAAGGAAGGGUUAUUCCAAACUCAGUCUAUGCAGUAUAUAAUUUGCUGUGAAGAUGUACAGGAAAAUGGAUGCAGUUAAGUUCAAUUCAAUUGGAUGUGCAGAAGCAAGAUGUCCUAGAAGCGAGAGAGUCAUGAAAGAAGGUUUAA